RNAcentral lists this ribosomal RNA (693 nucleotides) under uncultured Chloroflexales bacterium. RNAcentral describes it as "bacterial SSU rRNA". It matches the Rfam family "Bacterial small subunit ribosomal RNA", at positions 359 to 1066 of the family's 1533-position model. Lineage: Bacteria; Bacillati; Chloroflexota; Chloroflexia; Chloroflexales. The record is from RNAcentral.
GAAUUUUCCGCAAUGGGCGAAAGCCUGACGGAGCAACGCCGCGUGCCAGAUGACGGCCUUCGGGUUGUAAAUGGCUUUUGUCGGGGACGAAACGGACGGUACCCGACGAAUAAGCCCCGGCUAACUCCGUGCCAGCAGCCGCGGUAAUACGGAGGGGGCAAGCGUUGUCCGGAUUUACUGGGCGUAAAGCGCGCGUAGGCGGUUGAGUGCGUCGGCGCUGAAAUCUCCCGGCUUAACCGGGAGAGGUGUGCCGAUACGACUCGACUAGAGGCAGUGAGAGGUUGGCGGAAUUCCGGGUGUAGUGGUGAAAUGCGUAGAUAUCCGGAGGAACAUCGGUGGCGAAAGCGGCCAACUGGUACUGACCUGACGCUGAGGUGCGAAAGCGUGGGGAGCGAACUGGAUUAGAUACCCAGGUAGUCCACGCGGUAAACGAUGUCGGCUCGGUGUGUGGGGGUGAUGCAACCACCUCUGCGUGCCUAAGUUCACACGGUAAGCCGACCGCCUGGGGAUUACGAGCGCAAGCUUAAAACUCAAAGGAAUUGACGGGGGCCCGCACAAGCAGCGGAGCGUGUGGUUUAAUUCGACGCAACACGAAGAACUUACCCAGGUUUGACAUGGCGCUGCAAGCCCACGGAGACGUGGGACCUACGAGGGUGCGUCACAAGUGCUGCAUGGCUGUCGUCAGCUCGUGUC